GAACGUGGGACAGCAGGGGGGACACGGGGGAGGCUCUCGGAGGGCAGUUUCCAUUUUAGGCGUCUCUUCUCCACGUCUGGCUGGGACAGCCGUCCCCGCCUGGAGGGCCCCGGACGGGGCGCCGUCCUCCGCCUGUGUGUGGCGAGGCUGUGCCUCGGGGCUCACGGUCCCUUUCUCUCCUGCAGCCCCCCUCUUUGUAAGUCCCCACCCUUGCCCAGUGCCCUACCCUACCUGUCCCCAGCACCCCUGCAAAGUGGGAAUGGGAACGACAGGACCUUCCCUUGGUUUGUAUCCAAGGCUGCCACGUUCAGCAUUGUAGCCUGGGGCUGUGUUUUUCUUCUUCUUCUUCUCAUACUUCCUGUAUGAGGUUAGUUUUUUUAAAAUGAUAAACAAACUAUUUUUUUAAAACUUUUUUUUUUUGACCUGGUCAUGUGUUGCCAGCUACCUAUCCGUCUGUGAGCCUUCAGCUGUCAGCCCCCUACCUGUUCACCACCGGGAGUGAGCGGGGCUCCAAAGCAGAGGGGGUCUGUGCUCCCCUCUCCUCUCAGAGUGGCAGUCAGGUAAAGGCAUGCUCUAGUCUCCUAUUUGAGAGCAACACCAAUAGACAUCAUGGCUCAAGGAUUCUCCCCAGGCAGAGAGCGUGGGGGAGAGGAAGGCUAUGUGUGGGAGGAGAGGGCUUGGCCAGGAAAGAGAUGUGAUGUGGUGGGGGAUUCCCGGGUACAGGUGUAGAAUCCCACGGUGUCAGUCCCACGCUCUGCAGAUGCACAGCGUCUGGGAAAGAGGAUUAUGGAAUGAGCUGUGCCGGCCUUUCUUCCCAGGUCACCCCAGACCGUGCUGCCAGUCUCAGCUGGCUUCGGGGCUGCCGGUUCUCUCCUCCCACUGCGGCGUGUCAGGGCAGAGCCAUCCCGUGAGGAGCCUGGGGACAGCUGACCAAACAGAGAGCAUCAGUAGACAGCUGAGCUGCCAUGGUCAUGGUCGUGGUCAUGAGCCCACAGCCCAGGAUCACUUGCCAUUGAAUAACUGGGAGAUGAAACAGGAAACUUUAUGACACACUUGCUUGAAAAUGACACAGGACUCAGCCCCUCUGCAUCACCUCUACCUGCUGCCCACAGCCGAGUGCGGGGGAAGGGCUGGCCCUGGGACCUGAUUCCAACCGCCGUGGACUCGACAUUCAGUGUGAUGUGUCUGCCAUACUGUGGUCAUGGGCUAGUCUGGUCGGUUUCCUAUGUAGCUGGCCACUCUCAGUGUAUCUUUGCCCCUUUUCCUUCAUUAAAAGCAU
Molecule: long non-coding RNA, 1279 nt
Filed under: Bos mutus (wild yak)
Lineage: Eukaryota; Metazoa; Chordata; Mammalia; Artiodactyla; Bovidae
Description: lncRNA (ENSBMUG00000024625.1)
Source: RNAcentral